CCCCCUCCCCGGAUGCAUUUUCUAAUCAGUUCACAUGAUUGAGCUUCCACCAAGUGAUGCUUUACUUAAUUCCUUUCCGCCUGUAGGGGUGUGAGGCUUGGAGGGCCUCUCGUCAAAACUUUGGAGGGCUCUGUCAGUUUGAAAAGAACAUGACCUUUAAAUUGUAUCAGUAUGUUUGCUGGUGCAUAAGGGAGAGGAAAAGGUUUGUCCUGAUGGAAAACCACGCCGAGACCAGGGAGUAAUUCAGAGGGAACCAGCCCAGGAAGUUAAUUUGUUUAUACAUAAUUUGCUAAGUGGGGGCGAGAAUGGGGUCCACGCACCUGCUGGCUGCAAAGAGCCCACAGCCCGGGUCUGGGGACGGUUAACCUGUUUAGACAAUUUUUCUUCCCGUUGCUUCUCCCCUCCGAGCCACCACUAUCAUAGAACAGGUCAACCCAUAUAGUCCCGUUGCUUGUGAUUGAGGGACAGAUUGUAAGAAAGAAUUUUCUCCUAUAUGGCUGACAGCUCUGGGGCUGAAUUAUUAACCUCCGGCGAGAUUAGCAAGGAUGCUGUGUGACGGAAGUUGGAAGGUGUGGACUGGUUUUGAAAAAGUUCACUGAGAGACUGCUUUUUAGAACUCAAGGCAUAUAUUCUGAUUUUAUUUAUUUAUUUUAAGUUUAUUUAUUUGUCUUUGAGAAAGAGAGAGAGAGAGAGUGCAUGAGCUGGGGAGGGGCAGAGAGAGAGAGAGAGACCCAGAACCCGAAGCAGGCUCCAGGCUCCGAGCUGUUAGCUCAGAGCCCGACGCGGGGCUCAAACUCACAAACCGCGAGGUCAUGACCUGAGCCGAAGUCAGACACUCAACCAACUGAGCCACCCAGGCGCUCCUAAUCUCAUUUCUUUUUUUAAAAGUGUUAUUAGAAUAGGAAGCAUUCAGAAAGCCUAUCUGUUUUACACACACACACACACGCACACACACACAAACAAUUGCGUGGAUACUUUUGUACGCUGUGUGCAGUUUUCAUUGUUUAUUUGUGUGAUUUUCUUUUCUUUUUUUUUUUUAAGUUGCAUGACUUUGAAUUUAGCAAACCUUUAAGUCUGACCCUUUGUGCCAGGGUUUGCCGCUCCUCUUCUCUUUCUUCCAGUUAAAAUAUAUCGACACGUGAUGCAGAAAUAAUCAGAGGUGACGAAAACGGGCAUUGCCCGCUUUAAAGCGGUGACCAAAAAACAACAAAAUUUGAGGCGGGAGCAGAUGUAUACUAAUUUUAAUUGUUUCAUUUGAAACAUGUUCAUCUUUCAGAAUCGAGCAAGCUGCCUGCCUUGUCAUUCCCGUCCUCUGAGGGGAGAGAGACGGUCCCUCGCUGGAGCCGAGUGAGUGUGCUUAUGGAGAUGGGGAGUCGGGAAGAGGGGCUGGGUUGCUUGGCUCUGAGGUUGGGAUAGAGCCCCUUGCUUUCUUGGGGAGGGUUAUGUGAUUCCGGAGAUUAAGAAUUUUGGAGGAGAAACACAAAAAGGUGCCUCCAAAGGCACUCACAUUAGGAGUAAGACGUGUGGUGGCCUCUCUCUAUAAACACAUUGUAAC
This 1555-nucleotide long non-coding RNA is filed under the name Lynx pardinus (Iberian lynx). The record is from RNAcentral. Lineage: Eukaryota; Metazoa; Chordata; Mammalia; Carnivora; Felidae.